GUCCCGGACUGCGUGUAUCCGAAGAAAAAGCAUCGGCUAACUCCGUGCCAGCAGCCGCGGUAAUACGGAGGAUGCGAGCGUUAUCCGGAUUUAUUGGGUUUAAAGGGUGCGUAGGCGGUCCGUUAAGUCAGCGGUAAAAUUGCGGGGCUCAACCCCGUCGAGCCGUUGAAACUGGCAGACUUGAGUUGGCGAGAAGUACGCGGAAUGCGCGGUGUAGCGGUGAAAUGCAUAGAUAUCGCGCAGAACUCCGAUUGCGAAGGCAGCGUACCGGCGCCACACUGACGCUGAGGCACGAAAGCGUGGGGAUCGAACAGGAUUAGAUACCCCUGGUAGUCCACGCAGUAAACGAUGAAUGCUGGUUGUCCGGGUCGAAUGAGAUCUGGGCGGCGAAGCGAAAGCGAUAAGCAUUCCACCUGGGGAGUACGCCGGCAACGGUG
Molecule: ribosomal RNA, 437 nt
Filed under: uncultured bacterium
Lineage: Bacteria
Description: bacterial SSU rRNA
Rfam family: Bacterial small subunit ribosomal RNA
Source: RNAcentral